This 1029-nucleotide long non-coding RNA is filed under the name Gallus gallus (chicken). RNAcentral's name for it is "lncRNA (ENSGALG00010001102.1)". Lineage: Eukaryota; Metazoa; Chordata; Aves; Galliformes; Phasianidae. The record is from RNAcentral.
UCUUUUUCCCUCGGCUCUCAUCCUGACCGCACACAUUGCCUGAGCGCUACUUGUAAGGCCUAUAGCUUUCAGUUCUGCUUCAUGAAACUGAAUUUCUGGACUUGUAACAUGCUUCAUACUGUGGAUUCCAAAAAACUUUAACAGAAUUUGAAAAGAUAGAAUCAAUAUUGGGAUACUGGUGACUGACUGAAUAGACUGUAUUCUGUUCACACAGUACUAUGUACAUUUUGCCUUUACACUAGACGUUUAAUUUUAUGAAUUAAAAGUCAUGAGUUUAGCAAAGAAAUCUAGAGCUCAAAAUUAUAUUUUCUUAAUGUCAAUUUUCCAAGAAAAAAAUUAAAACUCCAACUUAUCAUCUUUUUUAUAAAUAUAUGCAAAACAGUCUUGACAGCUCUCUUAGCUCUGUAACAAAAUGCCUUUUACCUGUAACAUGAAAAUAAUGCCAGUGCCAGGCAGAACUACUGUAAAUCUCAGACAAUGAAAAACGGCUGUUCCGUAAUUCUGUUGUUUUUUUUUUUUCUGUUGUUGUUUUGUUUUUUUUUUCCUGAACUUUACAGUUUUAUCUAAAGUGGGAUCAGGGUGGAGAAAACAGAGAGGAAGGCCCUCUCAGCCAGGACAUUUAAUGUUGUGUCAAUUGUCUUUGCUUUUCAUUUGCACUUCUCUCAUCUUUCUAUUGAUAUUUUCUUACCACGCACUACUUCUGACUCUACCUCACUUUCUAACUGUGAUGCUCUGCCUUCCCUAUGCUAAAGUAUACCUGAGCUAUUAAAAAUUAUUUUUCCCGUGAGUUUCUCUUCAGCACCUGAAUGUGAGCCUGUGUUUCAAUCUCGGAAUUCUCAUUGACAAUCUUACUUCUCAUUGAGAUAGGAGGCAGAGAAUGGCCAGCAAAUUUUACUUAUGACUGACCUUCUCAUUAAGUAAUUUUUAUUGUUCCUCAAAGACUGCAUUAUAUAAGGAGAAUGGAAAAGUGCCAGUGAAAGCUUACGGACCAAUAUACAUGUGUACCGAGAUAAGAAUUUAUUUUAGGCA